UUUAAGUGCAACUAUGAAUUAUGAAUUUUAGUGCUCAACUUUAGUCGCUUAUCUUAUUUAAUUUUUUUUAAUUAGUACUACCUUUUGUUGUUAUGAGAUGAUAAAACAUAAAUAAUACUUUAUACGUGACUUAUAUUUUUAUUUUUUUAAAAAAAAAUUAAAUAAGAUGGACGAUCAAAGUUGGGCACGGAAACCCAUGGCUGCACUUCAU
Oryza glumipatula is the source of this 211-nucleotide non-coding RNA. The record is from Rfam. Lineage: Eukaryota; Viridiplantae; Streptophyta; Magnoliopsida; Poales; Poaceae.